This 841-nucleotide ribosomal RNA is filed under the name Riisgaardia vermiculata. Its description in RNAcentral is "partial 28S ribosomal RNA". It matches the Rfam family "Eukaryotic large subunit ribosomal RNA", at positions 55 to 929 of the family's 3401-position model. Lineage: Eukaryota; Fungi; Ascomycota; Sordariomycetes; Chaetosphaeriales; Chaetosphaeriaceae. The record is from RNAcentral.
GGAAAAGAAACCAACAGGGAUUGCCCCAGUAACGGCGAGUGAAGCGGCAACAGCUCAAAUUUGAAAUCUGGCCCCAGGUCCGAGUUGUACUUUGCAGAGGAUGCUUCGGGCGCGGUGCCUUUCAAGUCCCCUGGAACGGGACGCCUUAGAGGGUGAGAGCCCCGUGCGGUCGGCCGCCGAGCCCGUGUGAAGCUCCUUCGACGAGUCGAGUAGUUUGGGAAUGCUGCUCUAAAUGGGAGGUAGACCCCUUCUAAAGCUAAAUACCGGCCAGAGACCGAUAGCGCACAAGUAGAGUGAUCGAAAGAUGAAAAGCACUUUGAAAAGAGGGUUAAACAGCACGUGAAAUUGUUGAAGGGGAAGCGCUCGUGACCAGACUUGCGCCGGGGCGAUCAUCCGGCGUUCUCACCGGUGCACUCGCCACGGCUCAGGCCAGCGUCGGUUCGGAUAGGGGGAUAAAGGCGCCGGGAAUGUGGCUCCCUCGGGAGUGUUAUAGCCCGGCGCGCCAUGCCCCCGGCCGGACCGAGGUCCGCGCCCUGCAAGGACGCUGGCAUAAUGGUCACCAGCGGCCCGUCUUGAAACACGGACCAAGGAGUCGAGGUUGUGCGCGAGUGUGUGGGUGCCAAACCCGCACGCGUAAUGAAAGUGAACGCAGGUGAGAGCUUCGGCGCAUCAUCGACCGAUCCUGAUGUCUUCGGAUGGAUUUGAGUAAGAGCAUAGGGCCUCGGACCCGAAAGAUGGUGAACUAUGCUUGGAUAGGGUGAAGCCAGAGGAAACUCUGGUGGAGGCUCGCAGCGGUUCUGACGUGCAAAUCGAUCGUCAAAUCUGCGCAUGGGGGCGAAAG